GUGAGAGAAUGGGUGGCACUGUCCAAAAAUAAACAUACUCUUUACCUGACAUGUAACUGUAACCCUUUUGUAUACCAUCUUUAUAAUAACCAUUAAAUUUUUUAAUCAUACCAUAAAAAUGUGACUAUAAAUUGUAAUAACCUGGGCUAGGAAUAUGGCCUAUGGUAAAGUGCCCACCCUGGGUUUGAUUCCUCAGCCCCAAAUAUAUAGAAAA
Perognathus longimembris pacificus (Pacific pocket mouse) is the source of this 214-nucleotide long non-coding RNA. RefSeq lists it as uncharacterized. The record is from RefSeq and is a predicted model, not a curated record. NCBI's taxonomy places the organism in Eukaryota, Metazoa, Chordata, Mammalia, Rodentia, Heteromyidae. The transcript is spliced from 3 exons.